UACGGAAGGUCCGAGCGUUGUCCGGAUUUACUGGGUGUAAAGGGUGCGUAGGCGGGAAUGCAAGUCAGGUGUGAAAUCUAUGGGCUCAACCCAUAAACUGCACUUGAAACUGCGUUUCUUGAGUGUCGGAGAGGUAGAUGGAAUUCCUAGUGUAGCGGUGAAAUACGUAGAUAUUAGGAGGAACACCAGUGGCGAAGGCGAUCUACUGGACGAUAACUGACGCUGAGGCGCGAAAGCGUGGGGAGCAAAC
This 250-nucleotide ribosomal RNA is filed under the name uncultured prokaryote. Its description in RNAcentral is "partial 16S ribosomal RNA". It matches the Rfam family "Bacterial small subunit ribosomal RNA", at positions 524 to 773 of the family's 1533-position model. The record is from RNAcentral.